GACGAACGCUGGCGGCGUGCUUAACACAUGCGAGUCGAACGGAAAGGCCCUGCUUUUGUGGGGUGCUCGAGUGGCGAACGGGUGAGUAACACGUGAGUAACCUGCCCUUGACUUUGGGAUAACUUCAGGAAACUGGGGCUAAUACCGGAUAGGAGCUCCUGCUGCAUGGUGGGGGUUGGAAAGUUUCGGCGGUUGGGGAUGGACUCGCGGCUUAUCAGCUUGUUGGUGGGGUAGUGGCUUACCAAGGCUUUGACGGGUAGCCGGCCUGAGAGGGUGACCGGCCACAUUGGGAUUGAGAUACGGCCCAGACUCCUACGGGACGCAGCAGUGCGGAAUAUUGCACAAUGGGCGGAAGCCUAAUGCAGCAACGCCGCGUGCGGGAUGACGGCCUUCGGUUUGUAAUCCGCUUUCGCCUGUGACGAAGCGUGAGUGACGGUAAUGGGUAAAGAAGCACCGGCUAACUACGUG
RNAcentral lists this ribosomal RNA (468 nucleotides) under uncultured bacterium. RNAcentral describes it as "partial 16S ribosomal RNA". It matches the Rfam family "Bacterial small subunit ribosomal RNA", at positions 28 to 507 of the family's 1533-position model. The record is from RNAcentral.